GGGCGUAUGGUGGAUGCCUUGGCAUGCUGAGCCGAUGAAGGACGUGUGAGGCUGCGUUAUGCCUCGGGGAGUUGCCAACAAAGCGUUGAUCCGAGGAUGUCCGAAUGGGGAAACCUGGCCCUGGUUAUGUGGGGUUACCCUUCAGUGAAUUCAUAGCUGUUGUGGGGGUUUACGCGGGGAAGUGAAACAUCUCAGUACCCGUAGGAGGAGAAAAUAAUAAUGAUUCUGCUAGUAGUGGCGAACGAACGUGGAUGAGGCUAAACCGUGUGCAUGUGAUACCUGGUAGGGGUUGUGUGUGCGGUGUUGUGGGCCCCAACGUGCGGUGACUGCCAUCAUCGUGCUUGUGUGUUGUUGUUAGGUGAAGUGGUUUGGAAUUACCUGCCGGAGAAGGUGAGAGUCCUGUAGUUGAAGACAAUGGCAUGCGGGUUGUUGGGUUGCCCGAGUAGCAGCGGGCUCGUGGAAUCUGUUGUGAA
Molecule: ribosomal RNA, 473 nt
Filed under: Thalassiosira minuscula
Lineage: Eukaryota; Bacillariophyta; Thalassiosirophyceae; Thalassiosirales; Thalassiosiraceae
Description: partial Bacterial large subunit ribosomal RNA
Rfam family: Bacterial large subunit ribosomal RNA
Source: RNAcentral